This 1133-nucleotide long non-coding RNA is filed under the name Olea europaea subsp. europaea. Lineage: Eukaryota; Viridiplantae; Streptophyta; Magnoliopsida; Lamiales; Oleaceae. The record is from RNAcentral.
ACGUCAAUCUACCCAACAAAUAAGGAAGUACUGAAUCUUGCUAUCAUUGGUCAAUACAACACGUUCAUCUAAAAAAACAUCAAUUUUAUCUUUAUGUGCUAUGAUAAAUGGUAUUGAAGUAGACAUAUCAAAAGAUUCAGUGUAGGAAUUCUCAUGUGGAGGUAGAAAGUGAUCAUUAAAGGGGAAAAAAUAGUUUUUGUAAGCAACGAAGUCCUGAAUAGUUAAAAUAGUGUCGUGGUCAAAAUGUGAUAAAAGAUCAAUGACACAUGCAUUUGAACCAACAUGCUUUAAAGUUUUAUAAAGACCAGCACUACGGGCUUGUAGUAUAACAUAAUCCCUAAUGUUAAAUUCAAAAUGUUGUUUAUGCCAAUCAGCUUGAGAUUUAUAUAAUGCAUUACUUGCGUCAAGUUGUUUAUUGAUCUCAGUAUACAAGUCAUGAAGAUAAUAUAAAAAUAUUUCAGCUAACAACGACACACUAGCAUGCGGGGACAUAGGAAUAAGAUCUGGGCCGCCUAGACUUAUGACUAUGAACAACUUUAAAUGGAUUUAGACCUAGAGACCGAUUUAUAGAAUUGUUAUAUGCAAUUUGGACAGUUGGAAGGAUCAAAUUCCAAUUUCCCAGAGUUUCCUUGCAAAGAGCCUGAUUACACAAAUCAUCAAUACUUUUGGGUGGGAUAAGAGUAGGACACACAACAUUUGACUGAGAGGUAUUGGGAACAAGGGGUACGAUGCCUAGACUCAUAGGAAAAGUUCGAAUACUAUCUAAGGGGGUGUCCUUACUAUCAUCCAAGUCAUCAAAUUCUUCAAAUUUAGGUUCAUAGAUUCAAUUUUCUAAUCGCUCAUCUCUCAUAUUCUUUUGUUCUUCAAUGAAUAAGGCUCAAUUAGAACAUUCAGAAGAGAUGUGACCAAAGUCCUUAUAGUUGAAGAACUGCAAAUGAGAAGAAGUUAUUGAAGUUUCAAAAUCUUGACCUUUAUUGUCCAACAGAGGAGCAUUAGAUGGGAGAGGACCUAUGAUAGACUUAUGACGAGGUGGCGUUGAUGAGACGAGUGAACGAUAGUGACUACGCUUUACAUAUGAAGUACUAAUAAGUAACUCGUAGUCCUAAGCUAAAAAGUAAGUGUGAUCAAGAGUA